Molecule: ribosomal RNA, 253 nt
Filed under: uncultured bacterium
Lineage: Bacteria
Description: partial 16S ribosomal RNA
Rfam family: Bacterial small subunit ribosomal RNA
Source: RNAcentral
UACGUAGGGUGCGAGCGUUAAUCGGAAUUACUGGGCGUAAAGCGUGCGCAGGCGGUGAUGUAAGACCGAUGUGAAAUCCCCGGGCUCAACCUGGGAACUGCAUCCGAGACUGCAUUGCUAGAGUAUGGGAGAGGGAAGCGGAAUUUCUGGUGUAGCAGUGAAAUGCGUAGAUAUCAGAAGGAACAUCAGUGGCGAAGGCGGCUUCCUGGACCAAUACUGACGAUCAGGUGCGAAAGCGUGGGGAGCAAACAGG